Molecule: long non-coding RNA, 3434 nt
Organism: Thamnophis elegans (Western terrestrial garter snake)
Lineage: Eukaryota; Metazoa; Chordata; Lepidosauria; Squamata; Natricidae
Exons: 3
Source: RefSeq, a predicted model, not a curated record
UCUAAAUUGUUCUAUUUUACUCCAUUGGCAUUUUUCAAAUUUAUUUUUUUGAUUGGAAAUUUUUUUUUCUCCUACUCUGGUUUGAGCGGGAGAUUCAAAUUGACCUUCGGGCUUCAUCUCAGACUGACUGACAGUCUUGGGACCAUGAGUACGCUCCGGGACACAAACCAGCCAUAGUCAGCAUGGCGCUGACUCCUCAGCUCACGAGCUGCGACUCGGGCUGUUUAAAAACAUGAACAUCUCCCAUGGCUUUCAUACGCCACUACACAUUAGACAAGUAUGCGUUGGCUGAUGCAGCCUUUGGCCGCAGAGUGCUACAACAAGUACCUGUGCCUUAACAGACUUUGAUCUCUUGUCCCCACCUUAGUGGAAAGCCCCUCCUUUGGUAUGUCCCAGUCUGGCUACUAUUUCCACGAUUAUAGGAGAAUGAGCAUUGGUCCUUACCUGAUACGCUAAUUCUCUCUGACGUGGAGACAGCAGCCAGCCCCUCCCUAAGUGUAGGUCAAUCUGAACAGAACUUUUUUCUGCAGAGGAGAGAGUAUGUAUUUUGCAAUUAUCCUUUUGCUUUCACAAUUCUCACUUGAGUCUACAGUCUGCUUCGUCUAAACUGGGAGGAGUCACCACGGCACGAUUACAUCACAAGUGUAGACGUCCAAUUGGUUACUGGACAGAGCAACCGAGUCUGGCUGUUGUCUCCACGUCACAGAGAAUGAGCGUAUUAGUUUCCAUCUUCAAAAGGCAGACCUUCAUAGAGUGCACUGCAAUAACCAAAGAUCAUGUACUAAAGUGAUUAGGCCAUCCUUGGGAGUUGCAACUGCGAAGUGAGAUAUAGGUGGCUGAAUGCAUCCAAUGAUACCCGGGCCUUGAUUGAUACAGAUGAAUCCAUGACCCGAACUAUGUAUCUGCUUCUGCAAGAGGAAUAUAGCUCCAGGACAUCACGAUCUAGGAAUGCUUAGCCAGAGCAAUGAUUCAUCUAAAUUAGAAAAAGGGUAAAGAAUAUUUUUAUUUAUUUAUAGUAAUACUCAUUUGAAUUAAGAGUAUUUAAAUUCUUACUUUCAUUGUUUAAGAUGCCAAGAACUUUAUAUUUACUGUAGGUAUAGAACUGUCCCAGGAAACAAUUUUAAAAUAUUUUCCUUUAUUCAUUUUCUAAAGUCAUCCAUUGACCAAGUGAUUGGGUGUAUCUUUCAAGAGAGGUAAAAUAAUACAAACACAGGAUGAAACCAUCAACCGCUUCCCAAUAGCUGGUGAAAGAGUUGUUGCAAUUUCAGCUUAAAUAUUUGAUUGCUUCAUUUUUGCCUUAAUCAUAAUUAUCUCAACCUUUCUACAUUUAUUUCUUCAUCCUAGCCUGAUAAAUAUCUAUGCUUCAAAGUAAAAACCUACAGCAAACUCUUAACGAGUUAAAACUAUAAAUCUAAUCUGGGCACCAGGUACUAUAUUCAGAUAAUUUCUUAUCAACAGUGUACCUGUUCCCUUCCUUUAAGACAGAGGUAAGUAUUAUUUCCUUUACAGAGCCUAUAAAAUUCUCCUUUCCAGUUUCUCACGUUUAUAACAGUUGCUCCUCAUCCAGAAACAUCAAGAACAAGGAAACCUUAGAAAUUAUUCUGAAGCUCCAGAGAAGAAAAGCACUUCCCGACAGGUUCAAGUCUUUAUGUUGUUGUUCCUCUAUUUCUCCACCCCCUUCUGCCUGGAUUGCUUCUGUCUUCUGGGAAAGUCCUUGGUACCAUGUAUUUUAAUGUGCAUUUUAACUAUAGUAAUAAAAUAUGAUGGUUAAUUCUUUGCCAUCUUUGAAAUAUAUGUUCAGCUAUGAUUCUUCAACCUCUUUAGAAUAUAGUACUAGGUAUUUUCAACAAGAUCAUGUUUAUAGUAACAACAACAACAUUUUUGCUGCUCCUCCAGGAGUAAUAAAAUAGUAAAAGACACAAGUUACCUCAAGUAUAUACCAAGGAUUUGGAAACAAAUAACAAAGUCAUAUGAGGAUUAAAUAUUGAAAGUAUAUGCAAUUCCUAAAUGAUAAUUUGGUGCUUUUGCAAUUGGAUCAUUAGAUGUAUAUAUAUCCAGCAUGAUUUUUUUAAAAAAAGCUGCCCUGGUGCAAUUACAGAAAGUACAAGUGAACCCAACUUCAAGUCAGUGCUCAGAAGCAGAAUAUCCUGGGAAGCCGAAAGAUUUCCUAUUCUAGUUUUUAGAAUUAAAAUCUCCGGUCAGAUUUCUGUCUUUGGAUCUCUUACAGCAUGUAGGUACUUAUUUCACACACACAUGCCAAAUCCAAGCUGGUUCAAAAUGCACUGAUUUUCCUCACUGCUAUUCUUCUUGAAAUUGCUCAUAACCAAUAGGAGAGCUCAAGAAUCAGCAGCUAGCUUAUACCCUAUUUCCACUCCUGUCAUAACUGGGUUCACCUAGCAGCUUUUAAAAAAAAAAAGAUUGUGUUCUCCGAUUGCUCACUUUAGAAGAACUAGUGGAAGGGUAUCCUGGUGCCACAGUGCCUUAACCUCAAUGCCCACAAGAACUGGAGAGAUAGGUUGAGAAUUAGGUGCCCAAAUCCACUUGCAGGCUGCCAAAUUGAAUUGGUAGAGAUGCCUCCUGUCCUGCUGCUGAUCUGGAAAACCAUUGUGUCUGCUGAUUCUUGGCGAUCAGUGGGCCCAUAGGAGAUCCAAAAAUGUCAAACUGGCACCACAAAGAUGGAACUGAAGCCCCACCUGAUUUAUAUGUGCCGUAUCUAUAACACCCAUAAAAAAGGCGGGGAUUCAAAUUGCAUGGCCAGGUCCCCCCAUCUUUUAUUUCUUUUUCACUCUCCCUGCAGAUGCCUGUCAUAGUGUGGAAACAGAAAAAUUCAAGCCAAUUCAGGAUGAGUCAAAAUACUAUAUAUCGAGGAGACUAAAAAACAGAAUAGAUACGAGUAAAAUAGGUACCCGAGAUUGCCUGUUUAAAGAUUUGGGAAUUCUAUUGAUCUAAUCUGUCUCUGUUGAUUUGCUCAUUCAGUGCGGAUAAAUCACACAUUGUUUAUUUUGUCUAUUGUAGUUUCACAAUAACUGAAAGUGCUGGUCUUUAUUUUUCACUCAUGUAAUCUGUUAAAUCCUUUCAAUUUAUUUUCGAACACUUCAUUUCUUCUCAUGUUUUCUAAUAUUUGUCCUUGAUAACUUCAUUGUAUUUUGGUUGCUUUAUCGGCAUCUGUUUUUAGUUUUACUAGUGUUUCUUUCUUCUCUUUGUUCUUCAACAUUGUUACAUCAAUCUACUAUUGUUACGCUUUGUUUUUUAAGAUGGGGAAAUAAUUUUUUGGCUUGACUUGCUCUAAAAUGCUAAGUUUCCCAAUUCAAACUGUGAUUGAGUCUGUCCAUGUGUUUGUUGUAAGAUUAAGAUGGUUUUAUCUUAUAUUCUGGUAGCUACCCUGUUUCCCUGAAAAUAAGACCUCCCCGGAUAAUAAGCCCAAUCAGGCUUUU